UACGGAGGGGGCUAGCGUUGUUCGGAAUUACUGGGGCGUAAAGCGCACGUAGGCGGCUUUGUAAGUUAGAGGUGAAAGCCCGGGGGCUCAACUCCGGAAUUGCCUUUAAGACUGCAUCGCUAGAAUUGUGGAGAGGUAAGUGGAAUUCCGAGUGUAGAGGUGAAAUUCGUAGAUAUUCGGAAGAACACCAGUGGCGAAGGCGACUUACUGGACACAUAUUGAUGCUGAGGUGCGAAAGCGUGGGGAGCAAACAGGG
This 256-nucleotide ribosomal RNA is filed under the name uncultured bacterium. Its description in RNAcentral is "partial 16S ribosomal RNA". It matches the Rfam family "Bacterial small subunit ribosomal RNA", at positions 524 to 777 of the family's 1533-position model. The record is from RNAcentral.